This 484-nucleotide ribosomal RNA is filed under the name uncultured bacterium. RNAcentral describes it as "partial 16S ribosomal RNA". It matches the Rfam family "Bacterial small subunit ribosomal RNA", at positions 30 to 507 of the family's 1533-position model. The record is from RNAcentral.
AUUGAACGCUGGCGGCAGGCCUAACACAUGCAAGUCGAGCGGGUGAAGGGAGCUUGCUCCUGGAUUCAGCGGCGGACGGGUGAGUAAUGCCUAGGAAUCUGCCUGGUAGUGGGGGAUAACGUCCGGAAACGGGCGCUAAUACCGCAUACGUCCUGAGAGAGAAAGUGGGGGAUCUUCGGACCUCACGCUAUCAGAUGAGCCUAGGUCGGAUUAGCUAGUUGGUGGGGUAAAGGCCUACCAAGGCGACGAUCCGUAACUGGUCUGAGAGGAUGAUCAGUCACACUGGAACUGAGACACGGUCCAGACUCCUACGGGAGGCAGCAGUGGGGAAUAUUGGACAAUGGGCGAAAGCCUGAUCCAGCCAUGCCGCGUGUGUGAAGAAGGUCUUCGGAUUGUAAAGCACUUUAAGUUGGGAGGAAGGGCAGUAAGUUAAUACCUUGCUGUUUUGACGUUACCAACAGAAUAAGCACCGGCUAACUUCGUG